Molecule: long non-coding RNA, 255 nt
Filed under: Brassica rapa (field mustard)
Lineage: Eukaryota; Viridiplantae; Streptophyta; Magnoliopsida; Brassicales; Brassicaceae
Description: long non-coding RNA (BRAP_LNC004516)
Source: RNAcentral
AACCCAGGACAGUUCAACAAAAAAAAAUGCUUCACAUCUACUCGUGUUUUAUAAUUUAACAAACAGAGUAAAAUGAAGAAAGCACAAAACGGAGUCUUCAGAUGCUUUGGUUGUGAGCCAACAGAGAAGAUAGUGUACCAUUAUGCAAGUUGAAUCAACAAGCUCAACCUGUGAAAGUUUAUAUGUAACGAGAUUAUCUUUUCUAUUUGAACAAAAGAAGAUUAGUAUUUUUUUGUUCAAAUGAUUAUCUUUUCU